UUAAGUUCAGCGGGUAUUCCUACCUGAUCCGAGGUCAACCUUGUAAAAUGGGGUGUUUUACGGCCGGCAUGCGCCCCGCGCCCGGAACGAGAAGUAACUACUGCGUUCGGUCGUGGGACGCACCCGCCGCUGUCUUUCGGGGCCUGCAGCGCAGGGCCCCAACGCCAGGCGUGGCCUGAGGGUUGUAAUGACGCUCGAAC
This 200-nucleotide unclassified non-coding RNA is filed under the name Dictyochaeta sp. RNAcentral describes it as "partial internal transcribed spacer 2". Lineage: Eukaryota; Fungi; Ascomycota; Sordariomycetes; Chaetosphaeriales; Chaetosphaeriaceae. The record is from RNAcentral.